RNAcentral lists this ribosomal RNA (254 nucleotides) under uncultured bacterium. RNAcentral describes it as "partial 16S ribosomal RNA". It matches the Rfam family "Bacterial small subunit ribosomal RNA", at positions 524 to 776 of the family's 1533-position model. The record is from RNAcentral.
CACGGGGGGAGCAAGCGUUGUUCGGAAUCACUGGGCGUAAAGGGCGUGUAGGCGGUCAGGUAAGUGGGACGUGAAAUGCCUCGGCUCACCCGAGGAGCGGCGUCCCAUACUGCUUGGCUUGAGUACGGGAGAGGAUGUGGGAAUUCCUGGUGUAGCGGUGAAAUGCGUAGAUAUCUGGAGGAACACCGGUGGCGAAGGCGGCAUCCUGGACCAACACUGACGCUGAGUGAGCGAAAGCCAGGGGAGCAAACGGG